AGACAGAGACAGAGAGAGACAGAGAGAGAGACAGAGAGAGACAAACACUCAACAACAGGGUGCAAAUUAAAAGUGGAAGCUGCUGUGAAGAUUUGGAGGAAGUUCUUCACACACACACACACACACACACACACACACACACACACACACACACACACACACACACACACACUCCUCAUGGUGAAGUAGCUAACAGCAUUUUGUGAAAGAGGUGUAAGAGGAGGAGGAGAGAGGAGGAGGAGGAGAGAGGAGGAGAGAGGAGAGAGGAGGAGAGAGGAGAGAGGAGAGAGGAGGAGAGAGGAGCGAGGAGAGAGGAGGAGGAGGAGAGAGGAGGAGGAGGAGACAGGAGAGAGGAGGAAAGAGGAGAGGAGCAUUGAGAAAGUUAUCCCCUCCGGAAGAAGAAGAAGUUUCCUCUGACGUCAUUGACUAGGAAACAGCGGUGAAUCAACCAGUGUGCCCAGUGUAGCAGCAGUAUCACACUCAUAGGUACACUAACAGCUCUGUGAAGGAAUUUCACUUGAGGGAAAAAGAAGCUCUGUUGCCAUGGUGAUGUUCCCUAGAUAAAAAAAAAUGAGCAUCCA
This 581-nucleotide long non-coding RNA is filed under the name Salmo salar (Atlantic salmon). RNAcentral's name for it is "lncRNA (ENSSSAG00000112567.1)". The record is from RNAcentral. Lineage: Eukaryota; Metazoa; Chordata; Actinopteri; Salmoniformes; Salmonidae.